Molecule: long non-coding RNA, 971 nt
Filed under: Mus spretus (western wild mouse)
Lineage: Eukaryota; Metazoa; Chordata; Mammalia; Rodentia; Muridae
Description: lncRNA (ENSMSPG00010003312.1)
Source: RNAcentral
ACUUCUAACAGUAUCUCUCAAGACCGAUCAUCGGCGGCCUAGCAACAGUGUCUUGCUAAGCUGGGAAACAUGGUUUGGUGAGAAGGUCUCUAACUUCUGUCAAGACUCAGUUCUGCCACUCUCCACAAUGACUCUGGGCAAGGCUUCACUUCUCCUGAUGGAGCAAAAGGAGUACCAGGAGAUAAACGGUGAUUCCAGACUGGAUCUCAGACAACACUGGAAGCAUCUCCAGGCUUUCAGAACACCAGACUAAUCCAUAUGAAUGGAAAGGACAGUUCAUUUGUCCUUUCCUGUGACCCUCAUUCUGUCCCAGAUGGACCACGCUAAAGAGGAUGUGGAGUAUGAAGUCUGUCUGAAUAUGUGAAAGGACUGACACCAGGGUUGUUGUCAAGCUGUGGGGCCUUUGUUGAGCCAGAGAUACGGCUUGAAGGGAGAAAAUGAAACAUAGGUUGUGGCUCAGUUCUCAGCUAAGUACCCAGUUGAGUAGAGUAAGUGAGCUGCCUACGCAAGUCAGCCAGAGGAAGACACAGAUGUCAGGGAAGAAGCAGGGCGUGGCUCCACCUAAAUGAGGAGGGGGAGCUCUAUGCCUGACUGGGAGACCCUGUGGGUACUGGUGAUGACCAGCCCACACUCAGCCCUGAGCCAUAAAGACACAAAAGAAACCCCAAAGGAAGGAACGAACUGACUUGUCAAUCAUUCCCUACAGAUUUAUUGAAGCAGGUCUGCCCAGCCUCUGCCUGCCUGCAGGAACUUAGAGACACACUAGCACUCUAUGGACGAGCAAAGACCAAAGUCAGGAGCAGAUCUUCAUCAAAUGGUGAGGAUUCCAUCUCAUCAGCCAGAGCAGUCAUCAACAAAGCCAAGGACAGCUCUCACAAGUUGUCCUUGAACCUCCACACACGGGCAUAUAUAUGACUAAAUUUAAUUUGUUAAAGCCAAUUUUUUUUAAAUUAAAAAAAAAACAAGCAACA